This is a long non-coding RNA of Glycine soja, 630 nucleotides long. RefSeq lists it as uncharacterized. The record is from RefSeq and is a predicted model, not a curated record. Lineage: Eukaryota; Viridiplantae; Streptophyta; Magnoliopsida; Fabales; Fabaceae. The transcript has 3 exons.
AAAGGGGAAAAGUUCCAAAUAUCCCUAAAUUGUUUUCUCCUGCUUGCCUCCUUUCUUGUUCUUCUCCCGCUUCUCUCAUCUCUCCGACAUCUCGAUAGUACCAGUGUGAAGGUCAUUUGUGACGCAUGCCUCCUCUUCCGCUUCUCCGUUAUAUCCUUUGCAUUGGCGUAGAGGUGAUUUGUGAUGAGGCUCGCACUUGCUUUGCUUUUCCCAUCUCUCUGACAUCUCGUUAGCACCAGUGUGGAGGUCAUUUAUGAUGAGGAAAAUGUUUUGAUUUGUUCUAUAAUUUUGGUGUUGCAAGCAAGAAUAAAGGUGCACAAAAUCCUUCAAGUGUACCUGGUCUCAAGUCCUUGAGGAGUCAUAGAAAGAUGUAGACAAGAUGCUAUGAAUUGUGGUUCAACUUGCUUUUGAAAAUGGUAAAGCUUAGAAUAACAUUUUUUGCUUGUAUGAAGUGAUUCCUUUCUUGUACUAAAAAACAAGAAACAACUUAGUUUCUUUCAAAUCUUCACACCUUUUGAUUCCUUCUUAGGUUCCUUUUGUACUAAAAAAUAAGAAACAACUUAAUAUUCUUUUUCAUUCCAUCAUAUGGUGUGCCUAAAUUUAAAACAAUAGUAAGAGUUAACAUGUUCA